AAAACUGACAGAGACACUAGUGCGAUGGUUGGCUGUGGUCCCUGGGUGGCAGUGUUGAGCCUGUUCUGCCUGCUCUCAGCAGGCCGACUUGAGGAAGCACACAGAAUAAAUAUCAAGCUUACAAAAAGGAAAUAAAACUGCUGGUGUUACAUCCAACCUGCCUUCUCCCUUGCAUCAUUUUCUCACUCCACUCCUUGCCGUUCGGGUCUUCUGACCGAGACUCUGUCUGCUCACCCAACAUUCACUCCCCCCAAACCACAUCACCCUUACAGUUCCUUCAAUGUGGAGAAGAUUGAGCUUCCGGUAUCUUUCGAGCUGUAUGAUGAGGAUGGCGAUCAUAGGCUUAAGCUGAUAGAGUGUGAAUGGCUGGUCAAAAACAUCACCAUGAACCGACCAUUGUAAGCGUGCAUUAAUAAAAUACACAAAGAUGAAUUUCUUGUUGCACAUCUCCAUGGUUACGAUGCUUUAAGAAAAAUUGUAAUUGUAAUUGUUAUUAGAAACAGGGGGACAGUGGUUCAGCAGGUAGAGGAGUCGUUCAGCAAUCCGAAGGUUACUAGUUCGAUCCCGACUCCUCCUCAGCAAGUAUCGAAGUGUCCUUGAGCAAGACACUGAACUCUUAACCGCUCCCGAUACCCAGGUUGGCAACUUAGAUAGUGGCCUCUGCCAUCGGUGUAUGAAUGGGUAGAUGUCUGAGGCAUUCAUGUAUAAAGCGUUUUGAGUGCUCCACGAGUAGAAAAGUGCUAUAUAAAUCCAUGCAGUCCAUUCACAUCAAAAUGAAAAAAAAAAAUGCCCGAGACAGCAGUUGUGUGAAAACAGACAGUAGGAUUAGGUUUCCUAGCCAAGUUUAUGCUAUAGCUGUGGCUUGCAGACGACAUUAUAAGCGAAUUAGUCUAGGCUUAUUUGUCCAUGUCAG
This is a long non-coding RNA of Clupea harengus (Atlantic herring), 913 nucleotides long. NCBI's taxonomy places the organism in Eukaryota, Metazoa, Chordata, Actinopteri, Clupeiformes, Clupeidae. The record is from Ensembl.